Long non-coding RNA from Hypanus sabinus (Atlantic stingray), 1046 nucleotides. RefSeq lists it as uncharacterized. NCBI's taxonomy places the organism in Eukaryota, Metazoa, Chordata, Chondrichthyes, Myliobatiformes, Dasyatidae. The transcript has 3 exons. The record is from RefSeq and is a predicted model, not a curated record.
CGGAUGGGCGAUGGUUUUCAUUCCGUUCUCUGUAAAACCGGGUCGUCGGCUGGGAGCCGGAGGACCGAUCGCUGUCAGCGGGAACAAUUGAUCAAGUUCUCAUCGCACAAACUGAUCACAGCUGUCCUCAAAAUGGGUCAAGGUUCGAGCAGUGGAGGAGCUCCAGUGACGUCAACAUCGGGAAAGGACACGGAGCAGCAAAAACUGAAAACUCCUGUCCACAAAAUGGAUCAAGGUUCGAGCAGUGGAGGAGCUCCAGUGACGUCAACAUCAGGAAAUGACACGGGUAUGUUGGCGAAGUAUUUUAAUUUAUAAAUACUCUGCGGAUUCUCCGCCUGGGUUUAAUUCAAUAAUGGCAAUUCUCCAAAUAUUUGUGAAAACUGACCAGAGUGAUUAGAGAGAGAGUUAACAUCUCUGGGGGAAACACAGUCACAUGUGGAAGGAGUACAGUUACCAUCUGCUCAUGCUCCUCUAACAGAUUGUGAUGCACAUUAAAAUAGCGAGUUACUCCAGAAGACAAGACAUUCUACAGAUGCUGAAAGUUUUGUGCAACAAAAAGAGACACAAAAUAUUGGCGGAAUUCAGCAGAUCAGGCAGCAUCCAUGGACAUGAAUAAACAGUCAACAUUUCAGAUCAGGACCACGGGGAACAGAAAGUAAUGUCACAAUAUCUAGAAUUUCUGUCCCCUCAUUUCCAGUCAGAUGAAGGGCCUUGGCCUGAAAUGUUGAUUGUUAUUCUCCUCCAUAGAUGUUGCCUGACCUGCUGAGUACCUCCAACAUUUUGUGAGAAAUCCCAGAGAUUUGCUGAGGAAGUGGUUGACCAGACAGGCAGACAGUAACCCAAAGCAAAGCGGUGGUGAUGGGCAGUACCAGGAGAGUGAUGGUGAUGGGUUACUGUAUUCUCAGCAAUAAGCAGAGUCCUUUCCAAACAGAGAGGUAUAUUCCUGGGGACAUGAAACAGCAGACUUCAACAGAUGGAAUUAUACCACCUCCUACACCCCCGUCGACCCCUACCCUCCGGCUCAAACCCGUUCUCCCACAUAUAUA